RNAcentral lists this transfer RNA (73 nucleotides) under Micromonas pusilla virus SP1. RNAcentral describes it as "tRNA-Asn". It matches the Rfam family "tRNA". Rfam says of the family: Transfer RNA (tRNA) molecules are approximately 80 nucleotides in length. The record is from RNAcentral. RNAcentral also lists the same sequence under 1 other name. Lineage: Varidnaviria; Bamfordvirae; Nucleocytoviricota; Megaviricetes; Algavirales; Phycodnaviridae.
UCUUCCAUAGCUCAGUUGGUAGAGCGUGCGACUGUUAAUCGCAAGGUCAUCGGUUCGACCCCGGUUGGAAGAG